AUACGGAGGGUCCGAGCGUUAUCCGGAAUCAUUGGGUUUAAAGGGUCCGUCGGCGGGAAUCUAAGUCAGUGGUGAAAUCUUGCAGCUCAACUGUAAAAUUGCCAUUGAUACUGGAUUUCUUGAAUUAGUGUGAAGUGGUUAGAAUGUGUAGUGUAGCGGUGAAAUGCAUAGAUAUUACACAGAAUACCAAUUGCGAAGGCAGAUCACUAACACUAUAUUGACGCUGAGGGACGAAAGCGUGGGGAGCGAACAGGAUUAGAUACCCUAGUAGUCC
Molecule: ribosomal RNA, 274 nt
Filed under: uncultured bacterium
Lineage: Bacteria
Description: partial 16S ribosomal RNA
Rfam family: Bacterial small subunit ribosomal RNA
Source: RNAcentral